This 438-nucleotide ribosomal RNA is filed under the name Triticum aestivum (bread wheat). RNAcentral describes it as "partial small subunit ribosomal RNA". The record is from RNAcentral. Lineage: Eukaryota; Viridiplantae; Streptophyta; Magnoliopsida; Poales; Poaceae.
AUGCCCUUCUCGAAGGUGGUCGACGGCUCCAUUGUUCCCCUGUGGCAGGUCCACCUCCCCAUCACCUUCGGCACGCGCUACAACUACCGCACCGAGCUCAUCAACUUCGAUGUCGUCUGCAUCAGCCUCCCGUACAACGCCAUCCUAGGGUAUUCGGCAACGCACCUCGGCUACAACGUCAUCAAGAUGCCUCGGAGCAGCGGCAUCCUCAUUGUGGUGGGAGACACCAAGGAUUCACUCUUGGCCCUCAAGUUUGCUUUCAAGGACGCGACGGACGCGAGGCCAGACGCAGAGGACGCCCCAAAGAUCCUAGAGGUCGCACCAGCAAAGAAUAAGCAACUAUUCUAUCAGGAUCAGGCCGAGAUGAAGCAAGUGCCAGUUGAGGACGGGGGCUCAGGCCCCGCCUUCACCAUAGGGCCUGGCCUCCCUCCAGACUAG